RNAcentral lists this ribosomal RNA (253 nucleotides) under uncultured bacterium. RNAcentral's name for it is "partial 16S ribosomal RNA". It matches the Rfam family "Bacterial small subunit ribosomal RNA", at positions 524 to 776 of the family's 1533-position model. The record is from RNAcentral.
UACGUAGGGGGCAAGCGUUGUCCGGAUUUAUUGGGCGUAAAGAGCGUGUAGGCGGUCUGGUAGGUCCGCUGUGAAAACUCGAGGCUCAACCUCGAGACGCCGGUGGAAACCAUCAGACUAGAGUCCGGAAGAGGAGAGUGGAAUUCCUGGUGUAGCGGUGAAAUGCGCAGAUAUCAGGAAGAACACCCGUGGCUAAGGCGGCUCUCUAGUACGGUACUGACGCUGAGACGCGAAAGCGUGGGGAGCGAACAGG